Molecule: ribosomal RNA, 790 nt
Filed under: uncultured bacterium
Lineage: Bacteria
Description: bacterial SSU rRNA
Rfam family: Bacterial small subunit ribosomal RNA
Source: RNAcentral
AGAGUUUGAUCCUGGCUCAGGAUGAACGCUAGCGGCAGGCUUAACACAUGCAAGUCGAGGGGUAUAAGGGGGCUUGCUCCCUUAGAGACCGGCAAACGGGUGCGGAACACGUACGCAAUCUACCCCUAUCUUGGAGAUAGCCCAUAGAAAUGUGGAUUAAUACCCAAUAGUAUAUUUAGGUGGCAUCAUUUAGAUAUUAAAGAAAUUCGGAUAGGGAUGAGCGUGCGUAAGAUUAGGUAGUUGGUGAGGUAACGGCUCACCAAGCCAACGAUCUUUAGCUGAUGUGAGAGCAUGAUCAGCCACACGGGCACUGAGACACGGGCCCGACUCCUACGGGAGGCAGCAGUGAGGAAUAUUGGGCAAUGGACGGAAGUCUGACCCAGCCAUGCCGCGUGAAGGAUGAAGGCGUUCUGCGUUGUAAACUUCUUUUAUCAGGGAAGAAACCACAGAUUUCUAUUUGUGUUGACGGUACCUGAGGAAUAAGCACCGGCUAACUCCGUGCCAGCAGCCGCGGUAAUACGGAGGGUGCAAGCGUUAUCCGGAUUUACUGGGUUUAAAGGGUGUGUAGGCGGGCAUUUAAGUCUGGGGUGAAAUCUCCGAGCUCAACUCGGAAACUGCCUUGGAUACUAUUUGUCUUGAAUUAUGUUGAGGUUGGCGGAAUAUAACAUGUAGCGGUGAAAUGCAUAGAUAUGUUAUAGAACACCGAUUGCGAAGGCAGCUAACUAAGCAUAUAUUGACGCUGAGGCACGAAAGCGUGGGGAUCAAACAGGAUUAGAUACCCUAGUAGUCC